GCCAUAAUCAUAUAGUGGUCAUUAUAUCAGUUUGUGGCCUAAGGGAAACACUGAAAACCGAGGUUCGAUUCCUCGUUAUGGCA
Non-coding RNA from Trichoderma citrinoviride, 83 nucleotides. The record is from the annotation of a RefSeq genome assembly. Lineage: Eukaryota; Fungi; Ascomycota; Sordariomycetes; Hypocreales; Hypocreaceae.